AGUGAACGCUGGCGGUAGGCCUAACACAUGCAAGUCGAACGGCAGCACAGUAAGAGCUUGCUCUUACGGGUGGCGAGUGGCGGACGGGUGAGGAAUACAUCGGAAUCUACUUUUUCGUGGGGGAUAACGUAGGGAAAAUUACGCUAAUACCGCAUACGACCUACGGGUGAAAGCAGGGGAUCUUCGGACCUUGCGCGAUUGAAUGAGCCGAUGUCGGAUUAGCUAGUUGGAAGGGUAAAGGCCCACCAAGGCGACGAUCCGUGGCUGGUCUGAGAGGAUGAUCAGCCACACUGGAACUGAGACACGGUCCAGACUCCUACGGGAGGCAGCAGUGGGGAAUAUUGGACAAUGGGCGCAAGCCUGAUCCAGCCAUACCGCGUGGGUGAAGAAGGUCUUCGGGUUGUAAAGCCCUUUUGUUUGGAAAGAAAAGCAGCAGGUUAAUACCCCGCUGUUCUGACGGUACCCAAAGAAUAAGCACCGGCUAACUUCGUG
This 492-nucleotide ribosomal RNA is filed under the name uncultured bacterium. RNAcentral describes it as "partial 16S ribosomal RNA". It matches the Rfam family "Bacterial small subunit ribosomal RNA", at positions 29 to 507 of the family's 1533-position model. The record is from RNAcentral.